This 490-nucleotide ribosomal RNA is filed under the name uncultured bacterium. RNAcentral's name for it is "partial 16S ribosomal RNA". It matches the Rfam family "Bacterial small subunit ribosomal RNA", at positions 28 to 507 of the family's 1533-position model. The record is from RNAcentral.
GAUGAACGCUAGCUACAGGCUUAACACAUGCAAGUCGCGGGGCAGCAUGGGGGUUGCUUGCAAUCCCCGAUGGCGACCGGCGCACGGGUGAGUAACGCGUAUUCAACCUGCCCUUCACCACGGGAUAACCCGGCGAAAGUCGUACUAAUACCGUAUGUUGUCUCUUUACGGCAUCCGAUUUUGUUUCAAGGCUUGGGGGUGUUGGAUGUGGUUGCGUUCGUUUAUUCUGACGGCGGGCUUACCGCCGCCCGGGGGGACGAUCGGUAGGGGUUCUGAGAGGAAGGUCCCCCACACUGGAACUGAGACACGGUCCAGACUCCUACGGGAGGCAGCAGUGAGGAAUAUUGGUCAAUGGGAGUAAGCCUGAACCAGCCAAGUAGCGUGCAGGAAGGCGGCGCUAUGGGUUGUAAACUGCUUUUAUGCGGGGAUAAAGUGGCCCACGUGUGGGCUAUUGCAGGUACCGCAUGAAUAAGGACCGGCUAAUUCCGUG